Molecule: small RNA, 852 nt
Filed under: Monascus floridanus
Lineage: Eukaryota; Fungi; Ascomycota; Eurotiomycetes; Eurotiales; Aspergillaceae
Description: LSU rRNA
Rfam family: Eukaryotic large subunit ribosomal RNA
Source: RNAcentral
ACCGGGAUUGCCUCAGUAACGGCGAGUGAAGCGGCAAGAGCUCAAAUUUGAAAGCUGGCCCCCAGCGGGGUCCGCAUUGUAAUUUGCAGAGGAUGCUUCGGGCACGGCCCCCGUCUAAGUGCCCUGGAACGGGCUGUCGGAGAGGGUGAGAAUCCCGUCUGGGACGGGGUGUCCGGGUCCGUGUGAAGCUCCUUCGACGAGUCGAGUUGUUUGGGAAUGCAGCUCUAAAUGGGUGGUAAAUUUCAUCUAAAGCUAAAUACUGGCCGGAGACCGAUAGCGCACAAGUAGAGUGAUCGAAAGAUGAAAAGCACUUUGAAAAGAGAGUUAAACAGCACGUGAAAUUGUUGAAAGGGAAGCGCUUGCGAUCAGACUCGCCCGCAGGGUUCAGCCGGCACUCGUGCCGGUGUACUUCCCUGCGGGCGGGCCAGCGUCAGUUCGGGUGGCCGGUCAAAGGCCCCGGGAAUGUGUCGCCCUCCGGGGCGUCUUAUAGCCCGGGGUGCCAUGCGGCCCGCCUGGACUGAGGAACGCGCUUCGGCACGGACGCUGGCGUAAUGGUCGUAAGCGACCCGUCUUGAAACACGGACCAAGGAGUCUAACAUCUACGCGAGUGUUUGGGUGGCAAACCCAUGCGCGCAGUGAAAGCGAACGGAGGUGGGAACCCCGUCCGGGGCGCACCAUCGACCGAUCCUGAUGUCUUCGGAUGGAUUUGAGUACGAGCGUAGCUGUGGGGACCCGAAAGAUGGUGAACUAUGCCUGAAUAGGGCGAAGCCAGAGGAAACUCUGGUGGAGGCUCGCAGCGGUUCUGACGUGCAAAUCGAUCGUCAAAUUUGGGUAUAGGGGCGAAAGACUAAU